Monodelphis domestica (gray short-tailed opossum) is the source of this 4909-nucleotide non-coding RNA. The record is from RefSeq and is a predicted model, not a curated record. Lineage: Eukaryota; Metazoa; Chordata; Mammalia; Didelphimorphia; Didelphidae.
UUUCAGCUGCAAAUGUUAUUGCAUCUACAUUUCCAGAGGAGAAAGAAGGUUAAACAGCCUACUCAGGUUUAUGUUAACUCAUCUCUUUUUAGUACUCAAAUGAGCACAAAGAGUAGAGAAUGUGGAAGCUUAACAGCCCAACCUCUUUCUUCCUUACAUUCAAUUAGACUCUGGAAAUGGAUAUCACUGAUGAUUAAAUGAAGAUAAAGAAAAGAAAACAGAAAGAAACCAUUAAUAAAUUUUGGAGAAAGAAAGCAGAUGACUGAUGAAGUUCAAAAUCAACCAAGCUGAACUUAAUCCCAUCAAAAGUCUCCAGAAAGCAGAGAAGCCCAGGCUCCCCACCCAUCCUCAUUGACUGCUGGACUUUAAGCCAAUCAAAAGCCUCCAGAGGACAGGGAAGCUCAAACCUCUAACAACCCUCCCCCAGAGACUACACCAAGAGAUCUUCUGUUAAAGCUCCAAGAGGGGAGAGUGAUAGAAGUCCCCCAAAAAAACAAAAAAAUGAGAGGAACAAGAGCACAGACAAAUACAGGGAGGAAAGAAGGGGUGAAUUUGAGCAAACAACAGAAAAAGAAGAAAGAAACUACAAUAGACAGCUACUACUCAGCAAAUGGAACAGAGGGGGAGAGAUCAGCAAAUGAUAAACCAGAAAUCCCAGCGAACUGGAUACAGGCUGUGGAAGAACUCAAGACACAACUAAGAGAGGCUGAAGACAAUUGGAAAAAGAACUUAAAAAAUUAAGAUAAGUCAUCUGGAAACAGAGGCACUGCAACUAAAACAAGAAAAUAGUGUCUUGAAAGCCAAAAUCAACCAGCUGGAAAAUGAGGCAAAGGAGAUGAAAGAUGAGGCAAAGGAGAUGAAAGACGAGGUAAAGAGGAUGAAAGACGCUCUUCAAAGAAAAUCAGACCAGAAGGAAAAGGAUGACCAAAAAGCCAGAGAUGAAAUCCAAUCUUUAAGAACCAGAAUAAAACAACUAAAAUCAAGUGACCUCACAAGGCAGCAGGACACUAUAAAACAAAACAAAAAGAAUGAAAAAAAUGAAGGAAAUGUGAAGCAUCUCAUUUACAAAACAGACAAUUUAGAAAAUCGUUCAAGCAAAAACAAUUUAAGAAUAAUUGAACUACCAGAAGACCACGACAAAAGAAAAAGCCUGGACAUAAUACUAGAGGAAAUUAUCAAGGAAAACUGUCCCAAGAUCCUAGAACAAGAAGGGAAAGUGGAGAUUGAAAGAAUCCACAGAUCACCCCCAAAAUCUUCUUAAUAGAAGUUUCUUGGACAGAAACAUAUCCACAAACAGCUCCAAUCAUAUCUAGAAAUGCUUUUUUCAACAACACCAUGAAGAAGUUAAAGUUAAUCUUAGAACUGCUAUGACAUAUACAUUGUUUGAAUAUGCCAAGGACAAGAAAGAGCAAUUCAUGGAGAAUCAUCAUCCUGUCCAUUCUGUGACAUCAAUAAGCAAUAUUAUUUCAGUUGAGACUCCUAAUACAGCUCCCUCAAGUAAGAAAAAAGAAGAGCUUUCAAAAACCCAGAAACAGAAACUAGCAGACAAAACAGAUCACAAAGGUGAACUUCCACGAGGCUGGAACUGGGUUGAUGUAGUUAAGCAUUUAAGCAAAGCUGGUUCUAAAGAUGAUGAAUAACGGAAGUAACUUGAUAGAAGAAAAUACCAUCUUUUAAUACCAUAAACUGAGGCCAACAUGUUUCUUUUAGUACUCUUUUCUUCUAUUGGCAUUUUAUAAAAUAUAAGUUUUUGAGUUAAGUAAUCAGAUCACAAGUUCAUGCAAAUAUUUGUUGGUUUUUCAUUAUUCUCACAAAUUUUCCUUAAAGGAAGGUAAAACAUGCCACCAGGAAUGUUGAGUGUCCUUUCAAGAGUCUGUUAAGCUUUAUAAAUGAUCACAUAUCAGGAAAAGUAAAUGAUGAUAUAUGCAGUAUUAGUUUAUACUGUCUUACUCCAGUGUGUGAUUUUUUUUAAAGGAAUGUAAAGCCAAUUAGAAUAAAGCUGCUUAUGAAAUAUACCCUUUUCAAGUUCUCAUCUCAGUGGAGUAAAUAGUAAGAGUGGUGUUUUGGGAAGCAUGAUCUAUAUUAAUAGGUUUGUCACCUUAUUUAAGGUCUUCAUCUGUUCAUUCCCUUGAAUUACUGAUGUUUAAAUUGCUUCAAAGAAAGCUAGUGGUUGAAUACCACUAUGAUCCCUUCGUAUAGUUCACAUCUGUGUGUAGUUACUUUCCAUGUUUUGUUUUUUGCAGAGAACUGCUGUCUUCACACAGAUAAGUCUAAAUUAUAUUUUUCUCAAUAUUGAUGUAUUGAGAGGUUUAAACAUGAGAGAUUUUCAUAAUACAUAGGGUAAGAAAAGAUAAAACAAUUCUGCCAAAUACAUUGGAAAAAAUAAUAAAUAUUCACUUGGUUCUGCUCAUUUUCACUUUUCGUAAUUUCAUGUAGAUGUUUUUAAUUAACUUGCUCAUCAUUUCUUAUAACACAAUAAAUAGUACUCUAUCACAAUCAUAUGCCACAGCUUGAUUUACUAUUGCGCAACUGAUGAGCAUCCCCUCAAUUUAAGUUCUUUGCCACCAUAAAAAGCUGCUAAAAAUAUUUUAGAGCAUAUACAUUGUUUUCCUUUUUCCCUGAUCAUGUUAGGAAAUAAAUCUAAUAGUGGCAUUGCUGGAUCAAAAAAUAUACAUAAUUUUCUAAUCCUCUGGCUAUAAUUCUAAAUUGUUCUCCAAAAGGAUUUGGAUCAGUUCACAGUUCCACCAACAGUGUAUUAGUGUUCUCAUUUUUUGUCACAUUCCUUCAAACUUUUGUCAUUUUGUUCUUUUAUCAUUGUAGCAAAAUUGAUGGUUGUGAGUUCACCUUAGAACUGUUUAGAUUUAUGUUUCUCUAAUAAUAAUGUAAAGCAUUUUUCACAUAUUUUCAUAUGGCUUUGAUUUCUUCAUGAGAAUUUGUUCACACCUCAACCAUUUAACUACUGGGGAAUGGCUCAUAUUCUUAUAAAUUUGAGAAAGUUCUCUACAUAUUUUAUACAAGAUAGCUAUCUGAGGAAAUGUCUAUAAAAAUGUUCCCCCAAUUUUCUGCUUUCGUUCUAAUCUUGGUUACAUUAACUAUAUUUGUACAAACACUUUUAAUUUAAUGUUUUCAAAAUUAUCCAUUUUACAUCACAUAAUGCUCUCUCUUGAUUAGUCCUAAAUUCUUAUCUUUUCCAUAAAUCUGAUAAUCUUUUGCUCCUUUGUUUACAAAUAUUUGUUCUAUGUUUGUCCUGUUCCACUCAUCUAUUUUUUAAUUUCUUAGCUUAGAUCAAAUAGUUUUGAUAAUUAUUGCUGUCUAACAGUUUAAAAUCUAGUAUUGCUGGGCUCCUUUUCUUUAUAUUUUUUCAUUAAUUCCUUUGAUAUUCUUCACUUUUUGUUCUCUUAAGAAGUUAGCAAUUUCCUGUUACCCAAUUCUAAUUUUUAAUGUGGUAUUUUCUUCAUUGAGUUUUUGGGUCUCUUUUUCUAAUUGGUUGAUCUUUCUUUCAUAAUUUUCUUUAUUUUCUUGCAAUGCUUUUACUUUUUCCUUAAUUCUUCCUCAACCUUUUGUUUGGUUUUAAAACUCUUUUUCAAGUUCUACCAAGUACUCUUUCGGGGCUUGUGUUCAUUUUAUGUUUUUCUUUGAAAUUCUGGAAGUGGGUGUUUUAAUUUUACUGUCUACAGAAUUUAAACCCUGACCUUUUUCCAAAAGUAGAUAUCUAUAUUUAAGUUCUUUCUUUUUUGCUUAUCCUUUUUUUUAAGCAGAUUAUGUCUUAAUUCUUCAUGCCAGUGUUAGGCUCUUCUCUCUGUAUGGGACAGGGGUGGGGAUAAUUUCUCAGCCUUUCUUGUUUUUAUCAUUAUUCCCUGAGUUCUCUGGGUAUCUUUGAUCUCCAAGUUCUUCUAAUUUCUAUAUUAUAGGACCCCUAGAAACAUUGUCAUCUUCAAUAUUCUUACUCGUUGUGGUCUUUCUAGAGAUUGCAAAUAUCAUUUCACCCAGAAGACAUUAGUCUUUGAAACUCAAGUAGUAAUUCUGCUCUCCAGGGUUCUUGUCUCCCACAACUGUACUCAUUCAUGUAUGUUUGCUUCUCCUCUUCUACAGCCACAGAGUGAGACAGACUCUAGUCACAGCACAAAAUCUCCUAGGCAGCUGCCCAACCUCAUCUCAUAGUCAGCUCAGUGAACAUUCUGAUGCUGAUACUGUGACUUACAAAGAUGCUUCCAGGCCCUACCAUAGGUAAAUUGGUUGUCAGUUUGUCACCUAGCGCAUUCCAGCUUCUUCCCAAGUUGUCCUUCCUUGAAUGAUUGUCUUUCCCUGGCACUCAAUGAUUUUUGCUACUUAAAGGUCAUUCAGGAGCACCAUUAUCAAUUAUUUGGAGGAAAAUUGGAAGAAUAAGGUAAUCUUCUGUUUUAUUCCACCAUCUUCCCAGAAUGCAAAGCUCCUUUAAAAGGAUUAAACUACCAGCAAGUCUAUAAGUCACAUUCUUCUAGCCUCUUUUACUUUAUUAUUAAAAAUAAAAUGAACAUAGAGCGGAAAUAAAGAUCAGAAAAUAGUUUUAAAGUAAAAACUAUUUGAUCAAAAUAAAGUUAUAGAAAAUUGUUACUUUUAUAAGAACUGCUUCUAGCUGGUUUUGGAUGAAUUAUUUAGACAAUUAUAAAGAACACUUAUUUUUACACAACUCACAUUCAAUAGGACCAUAUGUUGGGGCACUUUGGUGGCUCAGUGGAUUGAGAGCCAGGUCUAGAGACCUUAGAGACUGGAGGUCCUUGAUUCAAGACUAGACUCUGACAUUUCCUAGCUAUGUGACCCUGGGCAAGUGACUUACCCCCCAUUACCUAGCCCUUACCACUCUUCUGCCUCAGAAUCAAUACUGGAAGUUAAGGGUUUAAAAAAUAAAAUAAAAUAAAAACAAUACCAC